RNAcentral lists this ribosomal RNA (1480 nucleotides) under Lacticaseibacillus rhamnosus. RNAcentral describes it as "bacterial SSU rRNA". It matches the Rfam family "Bacterial small subunit ribosomal RNA". The record is from RNAcentral. Lineage: Bacteria; Bacillati; Bacillota; Bacilli; Lactobacillales; Lactobacillaceae.
UAAUACAUGCAAGUCGAACGAGUUCUGAUUAUUGAAAGGUGCUUGCAUCUUGAUUUAAUUUUGAACGAGUGGCGGACGGGUGAGUAACACGUGGGUAACCUGCCCUUAAGUGGGGGAUAACAUUUGGAAACAGAUGCUAAUACCGCAUAAAUCCAAGAACCGCAUGGUUCUUGGCUGAAAGAUGGCGUAAGCUAUCGCUUUUGGAUGGACCCGCGGCGUAUUAGCUAGUUGGUGAGGUAACGGCUCACCAAGGCAAUGAUACGUAGCCGAACUGAGAGGUUGAUCGGCCACAUUGGGACUGAGACACGGCCCAAACUCCUACGGGAGGCAGCAGUAGGGAAUCUUCCACAAUGGACGCAAGUCUGAUGGAGCAACGCCGCGUGAGUGAAGAAGGCUUUCGGGUCGUAAAACUCUGUUGUUGGAGAAGAAUGGUCGGCAGAGUAACUGUUGUCGGCGUGACGGUAUCCAACCAGAAAGCCACGGCUAACUACGUGCCAGCAGCCGCGGUAAUACGUAGGUGGCAAGCGUUAUCCGGAUUUAUUGGGCGUAAAGCGAGCGCAGGCGGUUUUUUAAGUCUGAUGUGAAAGCCCUCGGCUUAACCGAGGAAGUGCAUCGGAAACUGGGAAACUUGAGUGCAGAAGAGGACAGUGGAACUCCAUGUGUAGCGGUGAAAUGCGUAGAUAUAUGGAAGAACACCAGUGGCGAAGGCGGCUGUCUGGUCUGUAACUGACGCUGAGGCUCGAAAGCAUGGGUAGCGAACAGGAUUAGAUACCCUGGUAGUCCAUGCCGUAAACGAUGAAUGCUAGGUGUUGGAGGGUUUCCGCCCUUCAGUGCCGCAGCUAACGCAUUAAGCAUUCCGCCUGGGGAGUACGACCGCAAGGUUGAAACUCAAAGGAAUUGACGGGGGCCCGCACAAGCGGUGGAGCAUGUGGUUUAAUUCGAAGCAACGCGAAGAACCUUACCAGGUCUUGACAUCUUUUGAUCACCUGAGAGAUCAGGUUUCCCCUUCGGGGGCAAAAUGACAGGUGGUGCAUGGUUGUCGUCAGCUCGUGUCGUGAGAUGUUGGGUUAAGUCCCGCAACGAGCGCAACCCUUAUGACUAGUUGCCAGCAUUUAGUUGGGCACUCUAGUAAGACUGCCGGUGACAAACCGGAGGAAGGUGGGGAUGACGUCAAAUCAUCAUGCCCCUUAUGACCUGGGCUACACACGUGCUACAAUGGAUGGUACAACGAGUUGCGAGACCGCGAGGUCAAGCUAAUCUCUUAAAGCCAUUCUCAGUUCGGACUGUAGGCUGCAACUCGCCUACACGAAGUCGGAAUCGCUAGUAAUCGCGGAUCAGCACGCCGCGGUGAAUACGUUCCCGGGCCUUGUACACACCGCCCGUCACACCAUGAGAGUUUGUAACACCCGAAGCCGGUGGCGUAACCCUUUUAGGGAGCGAGCCGUCUAAGGUGGGACAAAUGAUUAGGGUGAAGUCGUAA